UCAUCCCUACAGCCAUCUGGGGUAAAAUGCUGGCUUUGGGCUCCAUGAGGAAGAGCUACAAACAGAGGCUGUGGAGCACUAGGCACACAUUACUGAAGUUUAAGCACAACUGUUGAAACUUUUCUUUCAGUACGGCUAAGAGGUACUACCUUGACAUUAUUGGUUCACCAGCAGAGCAGAACUGCCCCAGACAUCAAUAAUAAUUCAGCG
This is a long non-coding RNA of Ficedula albicollis (Collared flycatcher), 210 nucleotides long. RefSeq lists it as uncharacterized. The transcript is spliced from 3 exons. The record is from RefSeq and is a predicted model, not a curated record. Lineage: Eukaryota; Metazoa; Chordata; Aves; Passeriformes; Muscicapidae.